AGAGAGAGUCAUCUUCUAUAUCUAGGUAUAUAAUGGAUGACAAGGAAAUUAACAAGAGCUAGCUUUUAUGAACCUCCUUAUAGCAUAUAUAAUGUUCACAUGUUCCUUCGAUCCAUAAUCAACUUCAAAGUCAGUACUGACCAAAAUGCUAGUAACUGAAGAAUGUAGAACCAUUUACAAUAAGAAUGAAAAUCACAUGUAGAAAUAUACAUUCAAAUCUGCAAUAAAUAGAAGGCAAAGCUUGAACGUAAGCAAAACCAGAAAUGAAUAUUCCCAAAUAGUGGGCUAACAAAAAGGCUGAGAAGUUUUCUACAGCCACUUCAAUAAAUGGAAAAAUUCAUGUGUGGGACAAAAACAAAACAAAUAACCGGGCCUGGUAUGCAAUCAUGUAAUUGAUGCAACCAUUGAAGGAAGGCAGAAGAAAGAGCCAAUAAGCAUACAUCCACCAAAUGUUACUAUCUUAUUCAUGAAAUUCCUGCUUUGAACAAGAUAUAGCUGCUGCACAUGUAAUGUUUUACCAGCAUCCACGAUAUUUAUUUCAAUCCAUAAAAACCAGAGUUUUGUUCUUUCUAGGGAAUUAUGAAUGCUACAACCUUUCUAUUUGUCACGUAAAAUUUGUGUUAUAAAAUUUCUUAAGUUUUCUAUCCAAUUAGAAAAAAAUAUUGGGCAAUUAGACAAGGUAAGUCCAUAUUUCUUCUUGAUUCUUCCCAAAGGAAGGUUAUAACUGCAUAAUAAUCAGUGAAGUCAUCCAGAAUCUACUUCAAUCAUAAUUUCUUAAUUAUACUCGCUUAUAAUCAAAAUGGGAUUCCUCAUAAUGUUCAUGUUUCACGCAUAGAUGCCAAUUUAGGACCAUUCAAUGGAAAACGAACGCCAUCCAGUCUGUAGAAGCUAAAAUAUAAAAGCAACUCCAUUCAUAAAUCAAAACCCUUGUUUGGCUAAAAUAUCGCAGAGAUUCUAUCUCGAAACCACUGGAGUCUCCGUGAAACAGUAAAGGUUGCAACUUUUCGGUGGAAAACCCCCAGAAAAGAUAUUAUACAUGUAGGACAGCGGGCAAAUUCGCCAUUUAAAUCGGGUAAAAGAUGCCACACGUUCCACGUUAUCGCCGGAAAGAAACUAGUUAUAUCAACAGCAAGUAGGACAAGAGAGGGAAUGAAGAACUCACCAUCUAAAUUCCCACCCGGAAGAAGAGAGGGAUCCGAAGUCGGCGUUGGCUCCGGUGUCGCAGACCAUCGGAUCCAUCGAUAGCGGUCACCGACUGGGGCGACGGGGAUUACGAAUUAGGGUCUAAGAGGGCGCGCGGCUGCGCCAUCGAGCGGGACGAGAUUAAGUGGGGGGUAGCGGGUUAGCGGC
This 1350-nucleotide long non-coding RNA is filed under the name Musa acuminata (dwarf banana). RNAcentral's name for it is "long non-coding RNA (MACU_LNC006673)". Lineage: Eukaryota; Viridiplantae; Streptophyta; Magnoliopsida; Zingiberales; Musaceae. The record is from RNAcentral.